GUGUCAGCCGCCGCGGUAAUACGUAGGAUCCGAGCGUUAUCCGAAUUUACUGGGCGUAAAGCGUGUGUAGGCGGUUUGGUAAGUUGGAUGUGAAAGCUCCCGGCUCAACUGGGAGAGGCCGUUCAAAACUACCAGACUAGAGGACGGUAGAGGGAGGUAGAAUUCCCGGUGUAGUAGUGAAAUGCGUAGAUAUCGGGAGGAAUACCAGUGGCGAAGGCGGCCUCCUGGACCGUUCCUGACGCUCAGACACGAAAGCUAGGGGAGCGAACGGGAUUAGAAACCCGGGUAGUCC
RNAcentral lists this ribosomal RNA (292 nucleotides) under uncultured bacterium. Its description in RNAcentral is "partial 16S ribosomal RNA". It matches the Rfam family "Bacterial small subunit ribosomal RNA", at positions 505 to 796 of the family's 1533-position model. The record is from RNAcentral.